UGUUAACAUUUAACUUAAAACAUGUACGAAUCAUGGUUCUUGGAGAUCUCGGAAAUGCAUUCCAUAAGCAAACGUAUUAUUGUGUUUCGUCGUGAAAACAGUUCUAACCAAAAGAGUCACCUUAUAGGACUACUGUGAUUAACGUAGACUUGUUGGAUGGAUUGGAUGCGAAUUGGUUUAUAGCUGUAUGCUAGUUGUCUAAUGAUAUUGUCGACCAUCGUCAGCUGAUCCAGUAAAGAAAACAAUUAUUGAUAGAAAAUAAUAAAGCUGAAUAAACGGUCUACUAAUUUUGGCCACGGAUGACACAGAUAACACCAGUAUCUACCCGCACGUAACUGAAAAACAAAGCAAUGAGCGCUCUAAACAGCUGACUGACAAACGAAAACAACGAUAAAUCGAUGGAUAGAUCUAAUGCAUUGGAAUAAAGGCUAUUUUUUUUUAUCAAGGACGCAUGGCAAACAAAUAGCGAAAAUGAGGAAGUACAAAGGAAAAGCUAUGCAUGAAGGAACUCAGCUGAGGCCGAAAUUCAGCGCUGCCACAGAAAUAAAUGGUUUAAACCAUGACAGAGAGGAGGUGGCCCUCCACCUAACCCCUCAGUGCCAUAGCUGAAUGUGUGUUCAACUACCUAGGGCAUCGUAGAGGGCCAAGACACUGCGCUUUUGAAGGUCGCCGAGCAGCACUAUAACGCAACUCCAGCUCCAGAGUCUGGCACAGCGUCUCAAGAGACCUCUACCUCGCUGUUGCCGCAGGACACCCAAUCCACCAGCAGCUCCAAAGAAGGUCUGGUUCCAACAAACCCCGAGGAGGACAUUCCUCAGCUGCAGUGGGAGAAAGCUAAAUUCAAAAUAAAAAAAUAAAUAAAAUAAUCAUAUUCUUUUACAAUAAAACAUCUUAAGAAAUAA
Salmo salar (Atlantic salmon) is the source of this 902-nucleotide long non-coding RNA. RefSeq lists it as uncharacterized. The record is from RefSeq and is a predicted model, not a curated record. NCBI's taxonomy places the organism in Eukaryota, Metazoa, Chordata, Actinopteri, Salmoniformes, Salmonidae.